UACGUAGGGUGCAAGCGUUAAUCGGAAUUACUGGGCGUAAAGCGUGCGCAGGCGGUUUUGUAAGUCUGACGUGAAAUCCCCGGGCUCAACCUGGGAAUUGCGUUGGAGACUGCAAGGCUAGAAUCUGGCAGAGGGGGGUAGAAUUCCACGUGUAGCAGUGAAAUGCGUAGAGAUGUGGAGGAACACCGAUGGCGAAGGCAGCCCCCUGGGUCAAGAUUGACGCUCAUGCACGAAAGCAUGGGUAGCGAACAGG
This 253-nucleotide ribosomal RNA is filed under the name uncultured bacterium. Its description in RNAcentral is "partial 16S ribosomal RNA". It matches the Rfam family "Bacterial small subunit ribosomal RNA", at positions 524 to 776 of the family's 1533-position model. The record is from RNAcentral.